RNAcentral lists this long non-coding RNA (19965 nucleotides) under Panax ginseng (ginseng). RNAcentral's name for it is "long non-coding RNA (PGIN_LNC018605)". Lineage: Eukaryota; Viridiplantae; Streptophyta; Magnoliopsida; Apiales; Araliaceae. The record is from RNAcentral.
UGUUUUACAAGGGGUAGCUCAGACAGAGUCUGAGUAUGAAGAGACUGUCCGGGUGUCUCUUGAUCUGCUAUAUAUGUAGACCAACUCUCAUCAGUGGCAGUUCUAGGUGUUUUUGUGUUAUAAGGGCAAUAUAGAAGGUUUAAUUUACCAUCAAUAUGUACUAAGAUUAAACAAGUAUAGGUACGGGGAAAAACAUGUUAAAAUAUAUCAGUGGCAGUGCUAGGUGUUUUUGUUAUAUACAAGGCUCUCAUUUUUAAGAAUUUACCAUCAAGGCAGAGAGUAAUUUGAUACAAAAGUGGCAUGCGGAUAUAUGUUUGCAAACCAGAUGAUUUGAUGAAUAAACUUUAAUACAUACAUUUUCCCUUAUAUUAUUAUAGAUAUUAAAACUCUUAGUAGCCAGCGGAAGGGUAAGUCAUAUGACACUUGGAAGAUACGCUUUAGUUCUGUUCUGUUCCACCUUCUUGGAUAGAAGCUCACCCUCAAAGAUGCUCCUGUCCUCUUUCAAAGACGCUCCUGUCCCCGAUAACGACCCGUUUAGGCUUACCUGAGAAUCAAAACACAACACAAGAUUAACAUGUAAAUAAAACAGCACAGAUGGCAUAAUCAAAUAUAUGCUGGAAUACAAAAUAAAAGGUCUUAAAAUUAGCACGUUUCUACAAGAAUUUUUUAUGCUCACCCCGAGACAAGUCCCAAAAUCUCAUAGAACUGUUGUUACUUCCUAACUCCACAACAUAUACCAUUAGUAAAACACCUCAGACACCUAAACCCUUACGGGACUUGUGGGUUCUUAUUUCUGCUUCAAGGAAUAGAACUCCCUACUAAUGAGAUGCAGCAGGGCAAAGUGUAGAAUGACAGAAGUAACAACAUGCUAUCAAAUUUAUUGUGACUACGUCGGAUUUGUAAUAGCCAACACUGAACUGAAUGUACCCAGUGACACCUUAUCCAAUUACUGGUGUUUAAACUACACACGCUAAAACCUACAGUCACCAACGCACGAAUAUGAUUCUACGAGCAUAGAAAAUAUAGCAAGACCAAGUCCAAAAUGAAAACAGACAUAAUUGUAAGAAGAGAGAAGAAAAAACACCAUCCAAAGUUUUCAGCCAAUAAUUUCCAAACCCACCGCAAAGCAGCUCGUCACUCCUGCUGUUGAGCUUUACACACUGAAAGAAGCACACAACAAAAGAUUAUAACCGUUUCAACAUCAAAAAAACCAUGCUAUAAUACAAGUCGAUAACAUAGAAUAUCCUACACUCAAUCAUAUAGGAAUUUCGCCUUAAGGCCGAAUCGCCGUCAUCUUCCUCUUUCCCCUCACCAAGUGGGCAGAUCUCAGGAGCUCAACCUCACUGAUACGCUCUCAUUCUCAUCACAAUCAGAGUUGGCAAAUCUAUAACAUCUCAACCUGAGCACUAGAUUCACUUUUUUGAACUUCAUCAACUUGGCGACAUUUAUAGGAAAAGAAAUAAAGUUUCAUAAAAUUGUUACUUUGUUUCCUCCUCAACCACACGAAGACAUGUUUGACGAAGCAAGAAUCCCCGAUGCCUUCGGGAUUCAGCAAUUCUAGUUGUGGAAGGACGCACCCUUUUUGCUAGCUGUGUUGACUUCUCCAUUUUGAUGAUAAUUUCAGCUACCUUCACUAUAAUAGGCAUGGUAAUGCAAUGAGAGAGAAAUUGUUUUCUCGUUUCCAUUUUAUUUAUAAUACCUCUAACCUAAAUGUGGAAUACUUAUCUAAGAAUACGUUUUAUCAUACACUCUAGUGAAGGAAAAUGAAAGCUAAAUUAAUCUACACCAAAAAAGAAAAUUGCUCAUAUUAACACUGGUGUACCCAGUUAAACAUAAAAACUACUAUUAGGUCAGAUAUCUAAAAAUAGUUUGCAUCAGUUUUGCAACAUUUCUAGCUGCCAAAAUAAAGCAGUAAUAAUAAUCAUCCUCGGGAUAUCCUCUCGUGAGAAUCUGCUGACGUACUACACAAACACUAAUAAUAUAAACUCGUGCACAAUGUCUUAAAUAAUCAAAUCCGACACGGAGUAAAGAGACGUCAAAAUACAACACAUCAAAAUAACUUCAAACUAAAAACGGACAAAACUUGUCCCUUGGCCCUGAAAAGAGUCCAAAUGAAAAAAAAAACAUCUUUGAAGAAACACAAUUAUCAUACCUCCUCAUGCUUCUUGGAUAGCAAAUCACACCACCAACGCCCCUGAUCCUCAACAGUUCUCCCGCCCUCGACGAGGUUCUGUUUAGGGUGGUUGCCUGAGAAGAGAAUCGACACAAGAUUAGCAUGCGCAUAUGGCAUAAUCAACUAUAUGCUGGAAUAUAAAAUAAAAGGUGUUAUAUAUGUUAGAAUAUUUUAUUUCCUUAUGUGGCCUCUACUAUUUAUGAAAUUAUUGGGCUUACAUAUUGAAUUAAUUUAAUCACUUUAUUUAUGGGUUUGGUAAUUAUGCGACUUAUAAAUAAUAUUAAUGAUAGUAUUUGGCAUAAUUAACCCUUUAUAAUCUUGAUGGGCAAUUUUAACCCUAAACUAUUCUAUAAAUAAAACAAUUAUGGUUUGGACUCGAUUGUCGUCUUAAGAAUUUUAUACACGUCUAUACAUCUAUCCAAAGAUUGAGAGAGACAAUUGAAUACUUUCACCCUUAAGCGCUAUGGAAGCGCGAUACAUACAAGAUGUAUUCUCUCAAUUCAUGCAAGUACCUAACAUAAUGAUCAAUUAAUUGAUUUUAUUCUAUGAAAUAACACGUUCUAAUAUAAUUUAUUUAACAUUUGGUAUCAAAGCAUAGUUAUGCUAUCCCAUGAAAUAAAUUAAUUAUGUUGUUAUGCUAUAAAGUUUAAUAUCGUAGAAUGAUUUAAUUACGGUGAAAAGGCUUUCCCGAUAAUAACAUCAAUUUGUUUCAGUUUUUACGCAAUCAUGUAUUCUGUUGCACAUCAUGGAUACUUACUUUUUCUCAAUUCGUUAAUAUAUAUUGAAUUACUUAAUGAUUCUACCUGUAUAAUAUUAUUUAUAUUAUACCAUCAUGUUUAGAAAUUCUGCAAAUAGCCCAAGUGUUAUUUAGUAUUGACUUCAAUUUAUUGGCUAGGUUUAGGGUACAUCGUUAUGCUUUCAGGAGGCUCUAUGUCGUGGAGAAGUCAUAAACAGGAGUUAACUACCAUUUUCACAAUGAUGACAGAAUAUGAGGCUUGUUAUCAUGUUACUUGUCACCAUUAUUGAGUAAUCUUAUUUCAAGACUUAAGGUUGUAAAUUCCAUUUCAAGGCCAUUGAAAGUAUUUUGUUAUAAUGAUUAGGUUGUAAGUUUUUUCAACACCACCAGUUCGAGUGGUACUGGACUGUACCUCGACACUAAGUAUUUAUUUAUCAAAAAAAGAGUUGAAGAUCAAAGCGUUGUCGUUAAGAAUAUUAGUACGCAUAAUAUGUUAGCUGAUCCACAUACGAAAGGCGUAAACCAAAGCUCUUGUUAGACCAUGUUGCCGACAUAGGUUUAAGUGGUAGUCUUAAUUAGUGAGUAAUUUUGAUGUAAUACAACAUUUUUGAGCUCAUUUUGACCUUCACAUUGCGUUUACGGUUUUCAAUUCUUUUUCUUUUGCACACAUGAGAACUUGUGAGCAAACAAUUACGUUUUGGACUAGAAUGAGUUUAAUUAAUCUAUUAUCACUUAUGUAAACUCUAUUCGUACCUGUUAUGCUUAAUGUUAAUCUCUGUUCUAAUAAAAAUACUAAUUGUGUAACUAAUGGGAAUCUUGUGUUAAUAGUGACACAAAGAUUGUAUUAAUUCGCAUUGGUGCUUUUAUUUGAACAAGAUGUAGGCAUUAAAUUAAUACAUGGCCAAAUUAAUGAUUGUAAGCGUUAUGUUUUGUAUAUAAUUAGUAUUUCGUUCAAGUGGGAGAAUGUUAAAAUAUUUUAUUACCUUAUGCGGCCUCUAAUAUUUAUUGAAUUAUUGGGAUUACAUAUUGAAUUAAUUUAAUCACUUUAUUGAUGGGCCUAUAAAUAAUAUUACUGAUCGUAUUUGGCAUAAUGGGUCCAAAGGUUUCAUAAUCUUGAUGGAAGCUAUUCUAUAAAUAAAACCGUUAAGGUUUGGUCUCAAUUGUCGUCUCAAAAAUUUUAUACACAUCUAUACAUCCAUCGAGAGAAUUGAAAACUAUCACCCUUAAGCGCAGCGAAAGUGUGACACUUUAUCUAAUUACUCUAGAUUUAAAGUGUGACACCUUAAAUUUAUUGUGGAUAAUCAAAUUUAUUGUGGUUACGUCGGAUUUGUAAUAAGCCGAUACUGAACUGGAUGUACCCACUGACACUUUAUCUAAUUACUCUGGAUUUUAAACUAAGCACAAUAAACAUACAGACCAAGAAACAACACCGUCCAAAGUUGCAUCUCUUGCAUCAUAAUUUUUCAGCAAAGUAUUUUUGAACAUACCGAAAUCUGGUGCCUUCCCUCGAGCCUUGCACGCUGCAAAAGCACAAAACAAAUAUUAUAACCUUUUCAACAUCAACAAAAACUUGCUAUUUUUCUUUAUGUUUUUGUCUUUGUAAUACAAUUUGCUAGUGUAGAAGAAACAACUAGAAUCAUACAAAAUCUGAAACCCAAAACAACUUUUUCGUCCGAUUUGUCUGUCCGAAUGCAUACCUCUCCAGAAAUCUCACGCCGAAUACGCUUACGAUAGUAGAUUCUCCAUGCCACUAGUGUUAUCGGAAAGGUAUAAAGAUAGGCCCGAAGAACUAGUCCAUUACACAUGGAAAAAAAUUUAGAAACACAAUUGAUCAAAUAAAUGAGUAAAUCAUGAAUAAAGGCAUUUAAGAAGGGACUACUAGUCCGCCUAAUCCAAAGUUAAAUGCAAAAACUAACUCAUAACCCAAAAGAAACCCGCAAUAUUUUCCCUCUAAUUUCAUUAACUAAAAUCCAAUGAAAACUUUCACACAUACAUACGUAUAUGCGUGUGUGUGGUGUGUGUGUGUGUGUGUGUAUAUAUAUAUAUAUAUAUAUAUAUAUAUAUAUAUAUAUAUAUUCAAAAAGCAAUUAAGUAAUAAAGAUAAAAAGGAAAUCAGAUCAAACUGCCUUUGAAAGUAAAAAUGUUAGGGUUAGGGUUUCUAAAGCAGUAGCAACAAGAGGAUAAAUUACUGAACUGUUACAAACAAUGGGAGAGCCACACCUUAAAAGCUAGCUAUUAAGGUUGGAGAGCCCAAAGUUUAUAAAUACCCCACAUCAAAGUCUCAUACCAUCGAUGUGGGACACAAGUCCCAUACCUUGCAAUUAGGAUCAUAACAUUCCACCACGCUCCGCAGUCCCGGCGCCCACGCGGGCUGGCUUUGCGCUAGACGAUUCUAGCCCCGGGUGCCGACGUCACAACCCUCGCCGCACGAUUGCAACCGGAAGGUAGUGGAUGGUUUUGAUACCAAUUGUAAUGAAUUGGAGAAGCAGACUAAAAUUGUCAAGGAAAUUUAGGGAAUAAGGAACAGAGCAGUUAGAGUGAAGAAGAAGACAGAAGAGAACCGUAGAGAGAGAAAAGACUAUCACGUUAUCUUUCAAUAAUCCCAAUAGAAUUACAACUCAGCUAUAUAUCUACUUAGAAUACUACUAUUACUAUAAUGCCCCCACUAAUCCUAUAUUGACUUCUAUAUCCCAACCUAUUCCUUACAUUAUUGUUACAAACAAUGGGAGAGCCACACCUUAAAAGCUAGCUAUUAAGGUUGGAGAGCCCAAAGUUUAUAAAUACCCCACAUCAAAGUCCCAUACCAUCGAUGUGGGACACAAGUCCCAUACCUUGCAAUUAGGAUCAUAACAUUCCACCACGCUCCGCAGUCCCGGCGCCCACGCGGGCUGGCUUUGCGCUAGACGAUUCUAGCCCCGGGCGAACACUGCAAUGCCGACGUCACCACCCUCGCCUAGCUUUUAAGGUGUGGCUCUCCCAUAGUUUGUGACAAUUGGUUUUAAGGUGUGGCUCUCCCAUUGUUUGUAACAAUUGGUAUCAAAGCCAUCCACUACCUUCCGGUUGCAAUCGUGCGGCGAGGGUGAUGACGUCGGCAUUGCAGUGUUCGCCCGGGGCUAGAAUCGUCUAGCGCAAAGCCAGCCCGCGUGGGCGCCGGGACUGCGGAGCGUGGUGGAAUGUUAUGAUCCUAAUUGCAAGGUAUGGGACUUGUGUCCCACAUCGAUGGUAUGGGACUUUGAUGUGGGGUAUUUAUAAACUUUGGGCUCUCCAACCUUAAUAACUAGCUUUUAAGGUGUGGCUCUCCCAUUGUUUGUAACAAUUUUUGACAAUUUUAGUCUGCUUCUCCAAUUCAUUACAAUUGGUAUCAGAGCCAUUCCGAUCCCAGCCAUAAUGACAGCCGAAAAUCAAAAUUCUAAAGCCCUAGAAAACAAUUUUGAAAAAAUUCGAGAAUUAAUGAAAGGAUUGCAAAGUUCUAUGGGUAAAGAGUGCAAGCAGGUCAUGAAGAAAUUUGGUGACUUACGAGCUUCCAAUGGAAGAGGUCGGGAGCUGAUAUCUGAAAUGAAGAUAAGCUCAGAUAGUAAAAAAAUCAAAGGUACUUACAAAGUGUUUGAUAAAAGGUUUACAAGAGGUAUAUCAAAUAAGAAGGUCUUAAUUUCUGGUUAUAAUCAAGAUGAAGAUUGUUUGUAUGUUGAGACCUUUGAAUAUGUGCAAAAGAAAUUAUUAAUUUUUGGUUCUAAUCAAACUGAGGAUUGCUUAUGUGAAACAACAUAUUCCUUAAAUUCAAUAUACCAAGACAUUAAUGAUGAAGAUGAUGUGGAUCUGGAUUUUAAGGAGGAAGAGAGCCUUCAAACACAAUUGCAGAUUCAACAAAAUGUUGGUUCAGUUGUUCCUGAGAUUGGAGGCCAUGAUUUUCUGGCCGGAAUUGAAGACCCAAUCUCACUCGUCAAUCAAGUUUGCACUGAAUCAAUUCAGGAUAAGGUCACAGGAGAGAACAUGGAACAUGAAACUAAGGUGGAUGAUAAAAAGCUAGUACCAAGAAUAACUAUCUAUCAAAAUGAAAUUAAAGGAGAUGGUGUGACAAUUGAAGGAGUAUUGUUACAAACAAUGGGAGAGCCACACCUUAAAAGCUAGCUAUUAAGGUUGGAGAGCCCAAAGUUUAUAAAUACCCCACAUCAAAGUCCCAUACCAUCGAUGUGGGACACAAGUCUCAUACCUUGCAAUUAGGAUCAUAACAUUCCACCACGCUCCGCAGUCCCGGCGCCCACGCGGGCUGGCUUUGCGCUAGACGAUUCUAGCCCCGGUCGAACACUGCAAUGCCGACGUCACCACCCUCGCCGCACGAUUGCAACCGGAAGGUAGUGGAUGGCUUUGAUACCAAUUGUUACAAACAAUGGGAGAGCCACACCUUAAAAGCUAGCUAUUAAGGUUGGAGAGCCCAAAGUUUAUAAAUACCCCACAUCAAAGUCCCAUACCAUCGAUGUGGGACACAAGUCUCAUACCUUGUAAUUGGUAUCAAAGCCAUCCACUACCUUCCGGUUGCAAUCGUGCGGCGAGGGUGGUGACGUCGGCAUUGCAGUGUUCGCUCGGGGCUAGAAUCGUCUAGCGCAAAGCCAGCCCGCGUGGGCGCCGGGACUACGGAGCGUGGUGGAAUGUUAUGAUCCUAAUUGCAAGGUAUGGGACUUGUGUCCCACAUCGAUGGUAUGGGACUUUGAUGUGGGGUAUUUAUAAACUUUGGGCUCUCCAACCUUAAUAGCUAGCUUUUAAGGUGUGGCUCUCCCAUUGUUUGUAACAAAUUGUAAGGAACUGAAAUCUGGAUUCAGUUCUUAGCUCAGUCAAUAUACUAAAACAAGAAGAAGAAUUAACUAAGAAUGAAGAAUAGCAAGAUCAGGAGGAAAAGAGACUGUAUAUUGGAGAGAGACAAAGAGUAACAAUUCCAUUCAUGCCUUCAACUGAGUACAGCUAGGUCUUCUUAUACAAAGGAAAAGAACAAAACAAUAACCGACUCAAUUUAGCCUAACAGUAACAGAUUACUGCUAAACCAUAUUAUUAAGCAAAAGACUAUUAUACCCUUAGUGACUCACUGGACUUUCUAUAUGUAACCCACAUUUCCUUACAAUCCCUUCCCCUAACAAAUUCCUUGUCCUCAAGGAAGAAAAUGUGGGAACCGGGCAUGAAUAUCAGACCAAAGCUCCCAAGUAGCUUCAGAAGGAAGAGUAUUAGACCACUGAAUUAAGACUUCUGCAACUGGUGCAUUAUUCUUCUUCACCAACCUUCGAGCAAGGACUGCUAGAGGCUCAACCACAAACUGCCCAUGAACAUCCACUGAAGGCACAACCUGUGAAACUGUUGCAGCUGUACCAAUUUUCUUUUUAAGCAUUGAAACAUGGAAAACAGGAUGUAUCUUAGCAUGUACUGGAAGAAGUAACUUGUAAGCAACAGAACCAAUACGUUCAAGCACCUGAAAUGGCCCAUAGUACUUAGAAUCCAACUUAGAAUAUCUAGACUGAGUCAUAGAAAGUUGUUUGUAUGGUCUAAGUCGUAAGUAAACCAUAUCUCCAACAUUAAAACUUCUUUCCUGCCUAUGCGCAUCAGCAUAAGUCUUAAUUCUGUUCUGAGCUUGAAUCAAAUUAUGUUUCAACAACUGUAACAAUUGAUUCCGAACAGCACUAAACUGUUUAGCAGUAGGAUCAGAAAUUUGGCCAAACUGGUGGAAAGAAAGAUGAGGAGCUGUAUAACCAUACAAGGCCUAAAAUGGGGUUAGCUGUGCGCCACUGUGAUAGUGGGUAUUGUACCACCAUUCAGCUAGAGGUAACCACUCACCCCAAGACUUUGGUCGUUGGCUGCACAUACAUCUCAAAUAAGCUUCUAAACAUUGAUUUAAUCUCUCAGAUUGGCCAUCACUUUGAGGGUGAUAAGCAGUGCUGAGCUUUAAAUGAGUUCCCAAAGACUUGAACAAAGACUGCCAAAAAUGCCCAAUAAAAAUCCUAUCUCUGUCUGAAACUAUAGAUGUAGGCAGCCCAUGUAAUUUAUGUACAUGAGUCAUAAACACAUCUGCGACAUCUACAGCAGAAUAAGGAUGCUUCAAACCCAAAAAAUGAGCGUACUUGGUAAGUCUAUCAAUCACUACCAAAAUUGAAUUAUAUCCAUGGGAAUUAGGGAGUCCCUCAAUAAAAUCCAUGGCAAUAUCCUUCCAGGUGUAUCAGGAAUAGGUAAAGGCUGCAACAACCCAAGUGUAGCACUGGUCUCAUGUUUGUUUAACUGACAGACUUCACAUUCUCUAACAAAAGAGAUAACAUCAGACCUUAAAGUAGGCUAAUAGAAAUACUGAGAUAUUCUUUCAAAAGUUCCUUUCCUCCCAGAAUGACCUCCCACAGGAGAACUAUGGAAUUCCUGUAAAAGCUUCACUUUUAGUGCAGCAGAGUUCCCCACUACCAACUUUCCUUUAUACCUCAAUCUGCCAUUAAUAAAAGAAUAAUCAGGAACGGAGUGGGAAUCUACAACUAACUGAGAAAUAAUUUGUUGUAGUUCUGCAUCCUCAGCCCAUGUAGCAGCCAAUUCUUGAAUCCAUUGAGGAGUGACUGUAGAAAGAGCUAAACAAUGUAAGCUCUCAGUUCCCAAAUCAGAAGUAUAACUCUGAUGCAAUCUAGAUAAUCCAUCUGCAACUAUAUUUUCCUUCCCCUUCUUAUAACAUAUUUCAUAAUCCAUUCCCAUCAACUUAGUAAUCCACCGUUGUUGAUUAACAGUAGUAAUUCGUUGAUCCAAUAAGUAAUUUAAACUUUGGUGGUCAGUCCUAAUGACGAACUUUGUUCCCAACAAAUAAUGCCUCCACCUUUGCACAGAAUACACCACAGCCAUCAAUUCUUUCUCAUAAGUAGACAAACCUAAAUGCCGUGUAGCAAUAGCUUUAUUAAGAUAAGCUAUUGGCCUGUCAUUUUGCAUCAGCACAGCCCCAAUACCUGUUCCACAAGCAUCAGUUUCCAAGACAAAAGGAAGGGUAAAAUCAAGCAUUGCUAAAGUAGGAGCAACUACCAUAGCUUGCUUCAGCUGAAGGAAAGCUGUCUCAGAUUCAGGAGUCCAAAUAAACUGAUUUUUCUUAAGCAUAUCAGUGAGAGGCUUGCUUAUCAAUCCAUAAUGCCUGAUGAACUUCCUAUAAUAUCCUGUCAAGCCUAAAAACCCCCUCAACCCCUUGAUACUAACAGGUUUAGGCCAUUGAAGCAUGCAAUCUAUUUUCUCAGGAUCUGUAGAAACACCCUCAGGAGUGAUGACAUGUCCAAGGUAUUGAACCCUUUGAGUGGCAAAAGCACACUUGGACAUUUUUGCAUACAGCUCAUGCUGCCUUAACAACCCCAAAGUCACCUCUAUGUGCUGUAAAUGAGAUUCAUAAGUAGGACUGUAAACCAAAAUAUCAUCAAAAAAAACUAGGAUGAACUUCCUCAAAUAAGAAGCAAACACAGUAUUCAUGAGGCUUUGGAAAGUAGAUGGGGCAUUCGUUAACCCAAAAGGCAUUACUUUAAACUCAUAGUGGCCCGAAUGGGUUCUAAAAGCAGUUUUAGGUAUAUCAAGAGGAUGAACCCUUAUCUGAUGAUACCCAGACCUUAAAUCAAGUUUAGAAUACCACUUAGCACCAUGAAGUUCAUCCAACAAUUCAUCUAUGACAGGUAUAGGAAAUUUGUCCUUGAUAGUCACAUCAUUUAGAGCCCUAUAAUCAAUACACAUUCUCCAUGUGUUAUCAUGCUUCUUUACCAACAACACUGGGAAAGCAAAUGGGCUACUACUGUUUUGAAUAACCCCAGACUGAAGUAAAUUAGUAACAAUCUUCUCUAUCUCUGCUUUCUGAACAUAUGGUUAUCUAUAGGGUCUUAAAUUGAUAGGCUGACUUCCUUCUUUUAAAUUGAUAUGAUGGUCAUGUGCCCUUUCAGGAGGUAGUCCCUUUGGUUCUGCAAAAACAUCAGAAAAGGACUUCAACAAUCUUAAAAGCUUAGGACACUCAGAAUUUUGUAAACUGCAAUCCUUACACUCUGAAAUCCCAUACAAAUAACCAAAAAACCCAUGUGUUGAAGUCUGCAAGGUCUUUGUAAAUUCUCCUGAAUCCAUAAGUUGGACCAUAGGAGUAACAUUCAUACUGUCUCCUUGCACGAUCACUGAUUUUCCUUCGUGAUUAAACUGGAACUGCAACUUAUUAAAGUCAAAAGUUACUGGACUUACAGUUUUUCACCACUGAACCCCAAGUACUGCAUCCACCCCUCCUAAUGGUAAAAUCCUCAUGUCAGUGUGGUACUCUUUUCCUUGCAUUUGCCACCUAAACUCAGGACAGACUUGGUUGCUUUGCAGUUUAAACCCAUCAGCCACAGAGACAGCCACUGCCUUAGCAGUAUUUUCAAUUCUGACCUUAAGUCUUUUUGCUGCUUGUGGAUCUAAGAAAUUACCAGUACUUCCACUGUCAAUCAAGAUACUAACUGGUUUUUGAUUCACUAGACCUUGUACCUUAACAGUUCUAUCAGUAUUAUGACCUAAUAAAGCGUGUAAAGUUAUUUGCACAUUAUUGGCCUGAUCUUCCUGAACCAGUUUGUAUAAUUCCCUUUUUCCAAGUGGUUCUGGUUCAUACACAAUCUGUUCCUCUUGGUCCACACCACUUUCCUCUUCCACAGAAGGCACCAUCAUAAACAAAUGUGGUUGUUUACAAACAUGACCCAACCCAUAAGGUUCAUCACAAGAAAAACAUAAUCCUUUCCUCCUCUUUUCCAUGAUCUGUUCCCUAGUUAAGUUCCUAAUAGGCAGGAGUUUUUUUGUUUCAGGCACACGUACUUCUGCCUUAUUCUCUACCACAUGAGCACCACUAUUUCCUCCCACAUUAUAAACCCCUUUCUGCAGUCCAGAAACUGCAGAACUGCUCUUAUUAAUCAAAUUUCCAGCAGUAGUUUUAAAAGCAGAUCUACUCCUUUUAAUCCAUGCUUCUAAUUUAGCUUCUUCCACUCUUGCCAAUCGAAUUGCUUCCUUUAGAGUCUUAAACCCAUAUUCUUGUAUUCCCAACUGAAUCUCCUCUCUCAAACCACCAACAAAACAAUCAAUAAAGAAUUCCUCAUUUAGUUGUGGAUUUUUAAUCACAGCCCAGCCUUUAAGCUCUUCAAACUUUCCCCUAUAAUCAUCAACAGUACUAGUUUGCUGUAAUUUCUUAAGCUCAGCUACAGGAUUGAUUUUAGCUUCUGGACUAAAUCGAGCCAAUAACUCCUCAAUCAGGUCAUUCCAGGUCAAAUUAACUAUACUUUCUACAAAACUUGAGUACCAGAUCUCAGCUUCUCCUUCAAGAUGCAUAGUAGCCAAAUAUAAUUUCUGAUUCUCAGCGACAUUAUGAUGUGAAAACAAUUUAUUACAUUUCCUUAUCCACGACCUAGGAUCAUUUCCAUGAAAUUUAGGGAAUUCAAGUUUAAUUGUUCUGAAAAUUCCCUCACCAUUAGUAACAGGAAGAGUUCCUCCUUCGUAAGCACCUAGGAUUGAUCCAGACAUGUUUGGAUUAGAGGAUGAAGAGUUACUACCUGAAGAUUGUCCGUCCUUACCAGAAGAAGAAGUUGAUCCUUGUUUUUGGCCCUGAGCUGAUAUUAUUGCCUCAAAACCUUUCAACAUCUGUUCCAAUUUCUCGUCAAAUCCUUUCUUCAGUAGCUCCAUCGAUGAAUGCAGCUGGCUUUGCAAUUCCUGCAGAUUACUCUCAAGGUUAGUCAAUCUCUGAUUGUUCGUUGCCAUCACCGCAAAAUCGUCACAGCUUUGAUACCAAAUUGUAAGGAACUGAAAUCUGGAUUCAGUUCUUAGCUCAAUCAAUAUACUAAACAAGAGGAAGAAGAAUUAACUAAGAAUGAAGAAUAGCAAGAUCAGGAGGAAAAGAGACUGUAUAUUGGAGAGAGACAAAGAGUAACAAUUCCAUUCAUGCCUUCAACUGAGUACAGCUAGGUCUUCUUAUACAAAGGAAAAGAACAAAACAAUAACCGACUCAAUUUAGCCUAACAGUAACAGAUUACUGCUAAACCAUAUUAUUAAGCAAAAGACUAUUAUACCCUUAGAGCCACACCUUAAUAGCUAGCUUUUAAGGUGUGGCUCUCCCAUUGUUUGUAACAAUUGGUAUCAAAGUCAUUCCGAUCCCAGCCAUAAUGACAGCCGAAAAUCAAAAUUCUAAAGCCCUAGAAAACAAUUUUGAAAAAAUUCGAGAAUUAAUGAAAGGAUUGCAAAGUUCUAUGGGUAAAGAGUGCAAGCAGGUCAUGAAGAAAUUUGAUGACUUACGAGCUUCCAAUGGAAGAGGUCGGGAGCUGAUAUCUGAAAUGAAGAUAAGCUCAGAUAGUAAAAAAAUCAAAGGUGCUUACAAGGUGUUUGAUAAAAGGUUUACAAGAGGUAUAUCAAAUAGGAAGGUCUUAAUUUCUGGUUAUAAUCAAGAUGAAGAUUGUUUGUAUGUUGAGACCUUUGAAUAUGUGCAAAAGAAAUUAUUAAUUUCUGGUUCUAAUCAAACUGAGGAUUGCUUAUGUGAAACAACAUAUUCCUUAAAUUCAAUAUACCAAGACAUUAAUGAUGAAGAUGAUGUGGAUCUGGAUUUUAAGGAGGAAGAAAGCCUUCAAACACAAUUGCAGAUUCAACAAAAUGUUGGUUCAGUUGUUCCUGAGAUUGGAGGCCAUGAUUUUCUGGCCGGAAUUGAAAACCCAAUCUCACUCGUCAAUCAAGUUUGCACUGAAUCAAUUCAGGAUAAGGUCACAGGAGAGAACAUGGAACAUGAAACUAAGGUGGAUGAUAAAAAGCUAGUACCAGGAAUAACUAUCUAUCAGAAUGAAAUUAAAGGAGAUGGUGUGACAAUUGAAGGAGUGUUUGACCCUGGGGGGAAAAUGAAGAGCUGUUUUAGUUGUAAAAAGGAAAAUGAGGUGGAAAAGCUUUCAAGUUCUAUAGUUAAUAAUGUGUACAGUAUGAAUUACCCUUCAGCCAUGGACUAUAGUGGUCUAUGGGUCAGUUAUGGGUCUUCUCAGAUGAGGCUUCAGUCUACACUCCUUGAACUUGUGCAUAGAGAAAGGACUGGUGAAGUAAUAAACCGUGGUUUGAUGAGGAAUAUAACAAAGAUGCUAAUGGAUUUAGGUUCCUUUGUUUAUCAAGAAGACUUUGAGAAGCCUUUUAUGAAAGUCUCGGCUGAUUUUUACCGUGGUGAAUCUCAGCAAGUCAUAGAUUGCUGUGAUUGUGGGGAUUAUCUUAAGAAAGCUGAGAAUCGUCUAAAUGAGGAGAUUGAGAGAGUGUCCCACUACUUAGAUGCAAAAAGUGAAGCAAAGAUAACAAACGUGGUGGAGAAGGAGAUGAUUGGAAGUCAUAUGCAGAGAUUAGUCCAAAUGGAGAACUCAGGUUUAGUUAAUAUGAUAGUGGAUGACAGAUUUGAAGAUCUGGGAAGGAUGUAUAGCUUGUUCCGCAGGGUGCAAAAUGGGCUGUCAUUAGUUAGAGAUGUCAUGACUUCCCAUAUUCGGGAGGCAGGUAAGCAGCUAGUAACUGAUCCAGAAAGGUUGAAGGACCCUGUUGACUUUGUGCAGCGGCUUUUGGAUGAAAAGGAUAAGCAUGAUAACAUCAUUAGUCUGGCAUUUAACAAUGAUAAGACAUUCCAGAAUGCUCUGAAUUCUUCCUUUGAAUAUUUCAUUAAUUUGAAUCCUCGUUCGCCAGAAUUCAUUUCUUUGUUUGUUGAUGAUAAGCUCCGCAAAGGACUGAAAGGGGUUAGUGAGGAGGAUGUAGAGAUUGUACUGGACAAGGUGAUGAUGCUUUUCCGCUACUUACAAGAGAAAGAUGUUUUUGAGAAGUACUACAAGCAACAUUUGGCAAAAAGGCUUCUUUCAGGCAAGACUGUCUCUGAUGAGGCGGAGAGAAGCUUGAUAGUCAAGCUCAAAACUGAGUGUGGGUAUCAAUUUACUUCAAAGUUGGAAGGCAUGUUCACUGAUAUGAAGACCUCCCAGGACACGAUGCAGGGGUUCUAUUCAGCAAUGGGUGCCGAGAUAGCAGAUGGCCCUACACUUGCAGUCCAGGUCCUCACUACAGGAUCUUGGCCAACUCAAUCGAGUAACACUUGCAACCUUCCACCAGAAAUUUCGGGUGUGUGUGAUAAGUUCCGGACAUAUUAUCUUGGGACUCACACUGGUCGGAGAUUGUCCUGGCAAACAAAUAUGGGAAUUGCAGAUUUGAAAGUAACAUUUGGAAAGGGCCAGAAGCACGAGUUAAAUGUCUCCACAUACCAGAUGUUUAUCCUAAUGCUCUUCAACAAUGCUGACCGUCAGAGUUAUAAAGAAAUCAUAAAAAUAAAAAUAAUAAUAAAAAUAAAAAUUGGAUGCCCUCAGCCAUGUUUUUGCUACCAAGCUUGGAGUUCGCCUAGCUGAAGCUCGUAUGAAUGGUACCUGUGCAUUGUUAAGGCUUGCUGGUAAAACUCAAGUGACUGUUGAGUACUAGUAUGACAGUGGUGUCAUGGUCUUGUGCACAUUAUUCUGAUCUCCACUUACCCAGCCUGAGGAGACUAUUACAACUGAUGAGAUUGCUACUUUGUCAUUGGUGUUUGUCUGGAUGAGAUUGGUGAUUUGUCAUUUUUGUCAAAUGCCUAAUACUCCAGUCUAGUUGGUAUUUGUUGUCUCCAUAUUUUCAAUUUUUUUGUUUGUAAUAAACCCCACCCUUGAGGGCAAUGGUGUUUUUGAGGAGCAGGGAAUGUAAGGUAUAGAUAGGGAUAUAGAAGUCAAUAUAGGAUUAGUGGGGGCAUUAUGGUAAUAGUAGUAAUAGCUGAAUUGUAAUUCUAUUGGGAUUAUUGAAAGAUAACGUGAUAGUCUUUUCUCUCUCUACGGUUCUCUUCUGUCUUCUUCUUCACUCUAACUGCUCUCUCUCUCUCUCUCAACUCAAUUUUCUGUUCCUUAUUCCCUAAAUUUCCUUGACAAUUUUAGUCUGCUUCUCCAAUUCAUUACAUGAACCUAGCAAAUAAAUUAAACAUAUAUACAUAUAUGUGCGAAACAAGGAGGAUCGGAAAGGAAAACUAACUGGCGCUCAUGAUUCCGAGAUUGAACAGAUGCGCUGCUGCGAAGACAAAUCUGGAAAAUGCUUUCCUCCCGUUUGUUUGCGUCAAAUGAGACCCGGCUACUUCUCAAAUUAUAUUCUCAGUCGGAUUUCCUCCCGUUUGUUUGCGUUAGCCCAGCCCAACCCAGGCCGAUGAGCCCAAUACAAAGUUAUACUUAUAAAUUAGUUUUAUUGUGCACAUAAACUCCUAAAACAAUAUAAAAUAGAGUCUCUUACAGAAUUAUACAACAUUUAGAAAGUAAUUACAAAAAAAUGCAUCCAUAAAAAAAUUACAAAAAAAGAGCAAAAAAUUCAAACCAUUCAAUUUCAAAUUAAAUAAGGAAACCUAAAAUCAAGGAUAACUAAUAAUUCAAAUUCAAAUCUUUUGGAUCUAACAACAAUUUCAAAUUCAUAAUUCAAAAAUUCAAAUCAAGAUGAGGAAAUUAAAAACAAAAAAUUAUGAAGGAGUUAAUGAUUAUCAUCCUCCUCCCCUGCCUCCCGCUGCCGCCACCACCAUAUCGCCGGAGUUGCUAUUCUGAAUUUUUUUUGACGUUUUGGUUACCCACAAAAAUUAAAAUGGUUACCUUUAUACGAAGUUUGGCUACCAACUGCAUCACAUUCAAAAUAAAAUUGGUAAUCAAAUAAAACUACCCUAUCAUAAGCUCAUCAUCAUCAUGGUUUGAAUGUGCAAGACAAUAUUAUUAUUAUUAUUAUUAUUAUUAUAACACAACAUAAACCAAGUGCAUAUAUUGAAAUAUAUAAUAAAUACAAGGAAUAUAUAAAAAUCUGCAUUUGAACUUAAUACAAGUGUAAACACAAUAGCAUUCUCCCAAGCACCAGCCAUAUUCAUCUUCCCAAACUAUGUUGUGGCAUCAAGUUCAACUCUAUAAAAUGCUUUCAGGUAGUCUGCACUGCGAAUAGCUAGGUGGAAACCUACAUAUAAAAUGCUCUCUCUGUUCCACAUAAACACUCCCAUCUGCAAACUUAAAAUAUAUAUUUUUCUUUUGUGUUUAUCCCUAAAUAUAUAUAACAAGUGGCUUAAUUAGUUUAAUAGUGAUGACAAUCUGGCAUUUAAAAAAAAUUUCUAUGGCAUUUGACUAUAUAUGAUAUAGUAUUUAGGAACAACCCAUUUCGAGGUUCAAUUGACGACAAAAUCACUGAGGACUAGCUGUUUGUAUGUAAGAAAGGACAUGCACGCAUGACCAGCGUCGCAAAAAAAGAAGAGAAAAAGAUCAAACGAGUGUUUUACAAGGGGAUAGCUCAGAAAGAGUCUGAGUAUGAAGAGAUCGACUGGCCGGGUGUUUGAAGGAAGCUUGCUUGCUUCUAUUGCCUAAUGCAGGCGGAAUUUAUGACACGAAUAAGACAGUCCCAUCCUUAGGGACUAGAGUGGGUAUUAAUUAAGUAACCAGGAAUGAAUUAAGUAAUUUGUAGAUCAAGUAUUUUACGUACGUAUACGUACUGUGUCGUGCAUUUGCACUACUUUUUGAUCUCUUGAUCUGCUAUAUAUAUAUAUAUAUAUAUAUAUGUCCAAUAACUCUCAUCAGUGGCAGUGCUAGGUGUUUUUGUUAUAUACAAGGGCAAUAUAUAUACAAGGCUCUCAUUUUUAAGAAUUUACCAUCAAGGCAGAGAGCAAUUUGAGCAAACCAGAUGAUUUGAUGAAUAAACUUUAAUACGUACAUUUUCCCUUUUACUAUUAUAGAUAUUAAAACUCUUAGUAGCUAGCGGAAUAUCACACUUGGAAGAUACUCAAGCUCGUAUGAAUUGACAAACACUUUCGCUUUAGUUCUCUUCUACCUUCUACCUUCUACCUUCCACCUUCUUGGAUAGAAGCUCACCCUGAGAAAAGAAAUAUAUAUAUAUAUAUAUAUAUAUNNNNNNNNNNNNNNNNNNNNNNNNNNNNNNNNNNNNNNNNNNNNNNNNNNNNNNNNNNNNNNNNNNNNNNNNNNNNNNNNNNNNNNNNNNNNNNNNNNNNUUAAAGGUCUUAAAAUGAGCACGUUUCUACAAGAUUUUUUUAUGCUCACCCCGACACAAGUCCCAAAAUCGAUCUCUCAUACAACUGUUGUUACUUCCUAAGUACUCCACAUAUAACCUCUACCAUUAGUAAAACGUACACCUCAGACACCUAAACCCUUAUAUGGGUUCUUAUUUCUGCUUCAAGGAAUACAACUCCCUACAAAUUAAAUGAGAUGCAGCAGGGCAAAGUCAGAAGUAACCACAUGCUAUCAAAUUUAUCGUGAAUACGUCGGAUUUGUAAUAGCCAACACUGAACUAAAUAUACCCAGUGACACCUUAUCCAAUUACUGGGGUUUAAACUACACACGCUAAAACCUACAAUCACCAACACAGGAAUAUGAUUCUACCAGCAUAGAAAAUAUAGUGUUAAAGUCAAGAUCUUUCCUCACGUCCCAAUCACGUAAGACGCGUCCGAUAUCGUGCACAGUUCAACAAGUCAACACCCAAAGCUUGACAGCUUGACCGUCGGGGGAUAGCUCCGGUGUGAGAGUCAGUACAAGCGAUCACUAGUUUAACAAUGGAGAAUAAAAUAUUUCGUGUAUUGAAAGAGGUAAAAAUAUCAGUUACCUUUAGAUUGUGUGUGAUCCUUCUAACAUAUACUCUAAAGUCCGGUUUGUCCUAUAUGCAACUGAUUUUCCGGGUCUACAACCUUUUGCCGACUAAGUCAAGUCCAAUUCUCAAUAAAUAUAAGGCAGAGUUGACAGUCAAAGUUCUAUCCCCAUAAUUAUCGACAGUCAAAGCCCAAGUGGAACCAUACUCACCAAAUGGUUCGGCCCACUGUCCGGCGCAAUACUCCAUAGGCCCCAAAUAAAGAUAUUAACCACCCACUGGGUCGGCCCAAUGAACCGGCCCACUACUUUCAAGACCUACCCAACAUGUCUAAAGUAUUAUGGAACAUAUAGCAAGACCAAGUCCAAAAUGAAAAGAGACAUAAUUGUAACAAGAGAGACGAAACAACACCAUCCAAAGUUGCACAAUCUUUCUGCAACCCAUUUUUAAACACACCGCGAAGCGGAUCGUCACUCUCGUUGAGCUUUGCACACUGAAAGAAGCACACAACAAAAGAUUAUAACCGUUUCAACAUCAAAAAAAGCAUGCUAUAAUACAAGUCGAUAACAUAGAAUAUCCUACACUCAAUCAUAUAUGAAAUUUCGCUUUAGGGCCAAAUUGCCGUCAUCUCCCUCUUUCCCCUCACCAAAUGGGCAUGCAGAUCUCAGGAGCUCAACCUCACUGAUACGCUCUCAUUCUUAUCUCAAUCAGAGUUGGCAAAUCUAUAAAAUCUCAACCUGAGCACUAGAUUCACUUUUUCGAACUUAAUCAACUUGGCGACAUUUAUAGGAAAAUAAAUAAAUAAAGUUUCAUAAAAAGCAAGAAUCCCCGAUGUCUUGUGGAAGGACGCACCCUUUUUGCUAGCUGUGUUUAUUUCUCCAUUUUGAUGAUAAUUAAUUUCAGCUACCUUCACUAUAAUAGGCAUGGCAAUGCAAUGAGAGAGAAAGAAAAAAAAUUCGUUUCCAUUUUAUUUAUAAUACCUCAAACCUAAAAGUGGAAUACUUAACCAAGAAUACGUUUUAUCAUACACUUUAGUGAAGGAAAAUGAAAGCUAAAUUAAUCUAUACCAAAAAGAAAAUUACUCAUAUUAACUCUGGUGUACCCAGUUAAACAUAAGAACUACUAAUAGUUCAGAUAUCUAAAAAUAGUACUUUGCAACAUUUCUAGCGGCUAAAAUUAAUAAAGCAGUAAUAAUAAUCAUCGAUCCUCUCAUGAGAAUCUGCUGACGUACUACAGAAACACUAAUAAUAUAAACUCACGAAUAAUCAAUCCAACACAGAGUAAAGAGACGACACACCAAAAUAACUUCAAACUAAAAAUGGACAAAACUUGUCCCUGAAAAGAGUCCAAAUGAAAGAAAAAACAUCUUUGAAGAAACACAACUAUCAUAUAUACCUCCUCAUGCUUAAUUCUUGGAUAGAAAAUCACACCACUGCUGACCCUCAACAGUUCUCAUGUCCUCGAC